GCGAGUGUGGUGGAAUUGGUAGACACGCCAGACUUAGGAUCUGGUGCCGCAAGGCGUGAAGGUUCGAGUCCUUUCACUCGCA
This 82-nucleotide transfer RNA is filed under the name Pseudomonadota bacterium. Its description in RNAcentral is "tRNA-Leu". It matches the Rfam family "tRNA". Rfam says of the family: Transfer RNA (tRNA) molecules are approximately 80 nucleotides in length. Their secondary structure includes four short double-helical elements and three loops (D, anti-codon, and T loops). RNAcentral also lists the same sequence under 4 other names. The record is from RNAcentral. Lineage: Bacteria; Pseudomonadati; Pseudomonadota.